AGAACAGAACAUGGUCCAGGUUCUGCAUCUGUACAGUCUCUACGUGAUAUCUGACAACCCCUUUUACAUGAAUCAUUGCUGGUAAGGAAGGCCGACUCCAUGGCGGGCAGGAUAGUCUGCAGACAGUGGCAGGGAGGAGGAUGGGGGACAGGAUCAGUGCCACCCCCUCUCACCCACUCCAUGAUGAUCUCUAGCUAACAGGCGGCUCAUGCCCCAGAGAUGACUGACUACUAUUUUCAACCCUGUCUCCUAGAAAUUCAGUUUGUAUCUCACUAAAUUACUAUGUUCUAAAUAAUUAUGUUGUGGUGACAACAUAAUACCUGCCUGGAAUCGGUUCAGAGGCAACAUUUUAUGAAACACUACAUUACUGUACGGUCCUGGAGUCAUUUCCCAAUAAUGUUCAAAGCAAACAUAUUUCCUUCAGCAUUAUGUUUAAGGCUUUUGAGAGUGAAUUUUUUGCCAGCAACUUUCAGUUCAGGCCUGUGUGUGAACUGCUUUGAAAGUGUAACCACUGAACGGACAAAAGCAUUAAAGCAAAUAAGAAAAACUGUAAAUACACUCUUUGUUACAGUUUUUCAAAAUGCUUCACACUGUCAGCAAAACGCUAGUUGGUGUGGAUCAUAUUUCAUUGCUUUCACACGCAAUGCAUCAACUGUGUGAACAGGUUUGAAAAAAUGAACUAUGCAGUAUGCAGCAAAUGUUGGGUUUGUUUGUGUCCACUAGAGGGUAUUGUAGGAAAGAAAUAUUAGUCCUACUUGAUGUAAAGUGAGUGAAUGUUUUCAAAUGUCAAAUGAAAACCAUCAUUCUCAAUAUCCUUAGUUUUAAGGUUUACACACAGACUUGAAAUGUACAGCUCAAAUAUCUUAAUCCAGUGACACGAGCUAGUCUCUGUGAAUGACUUGUAUUACUAUUUAUUAUACAAAUCUAUAAAUAUGGUCUUGAUGUAUAUUCUUGUAUGCAAAACAUUUGAGACAACUGCCACAACCUUAGACUCUAUAUAAUAUGAACAUAUACUGAUGAUAUUGUAGUGUGUGGUGUAUUUCAAGGGAAAGUUUAAGAUGAAAUACAAGAUUACUACCAGAUUGACAGAAGCCAAUGAGGUGCUGAUAACAACAUUUUGUGUUGUUUUUAUAUAGAAAUGUGUUGUUUUGUUAUUUGUUUUUAGUGUACUUUCAUUUUUGUAUUUUCUGUCUGACAUUAAUGCUUUAAUCUAAGUACAUACUGCGAGCAGACUGUUGGAACUGGUUUCUGUAAGACAUGAGUUAAUUCAGUCAGCUGUUGAUAUCUGAGUCAAAGUCUGCAGCUACAUGCACAAUUUUUUUUUAUUUUAAGUCAAGUGUUUACAUGAGAUGUGAUCUAAUACGGUCUGGAUGCAGCUGUGUGAGAUGGAUUAAAAGUGAUGAAUAUUUCCACGCUUUCAUAAAGUUGAUGGGGAUGAUCAGCACUUCGGUCUAUCCCGGUUUGAUCCAUUUUUAUCUUAAACUUGUUUGUUUGUUGUAAUGUUCAAUUAUUUAAGAGUUUGUCUUAAAACUCUCUGCAGAGGCCGAGUUCAGCCUGGAAGCUGCCAUUUUUUGGAAGAAGACAUCCACGCUCAUUUGCUUCAAAAUGGAGGGCAUGUACAGAAAGAAUGCAGUCAUAAAGUAAUCCGAUUAAAUGGUUUUCAUGGUACAAUUUACACCGAUUUAAAGUACCCCUCUGCAAAUUAUUGAAAUUUCAAUCCGUUUUUAAACAAAUCUACAUUUUUGUAUUCUGUUUAGGAUUAUAGUCAGAAUAUUAGGCGCCAUAUAAAUACGAAAUGUCAUACUGACAGUUCCUUAGAGCUGUGAUUAUCAACCUUUUUGCUUAAGGGACUACUUUUCUGUAAUUCAUUACACUGAAGACCAAGGCUUAAGUGGCAUAUUUUUUGGAUAUAUGUAUGUAUGUAUGUAUAAUAAACCCAAACAAUGAACACAAUUACUCCAGAAAGUGUAAAAUGAGUGAUCUGGAUUAAUUUUGAGCAGAUUAUUUCCUGUUUAGGCAAUGUUUGUUUUUAACUAUCAUACUUACAGUUCUCAGUAGUAAUAGUAAUUUUUAUAGUAGGUACUACAUUUAGUUUUCUUUACAGAAGUGAACAAAAUACUGAGAUAUGGAUUUCUAACUCACCUUAAAAUCAAGAAGGCCUCGUGAACCUCCCCAUGUGCCUUUGGUGACCCCUAGUGGGGGAUUUGGGUUUGGAACCAGUGCCUUACACAGACAAGUUAGGCUAAAUGUUAUGAGUGAGUGACAGUUUCUUGCAAGUGUUAAAGUGUGAAGAUUGCUCCUAAUGUUUGGAGAUCUGCAACAGUGAGUCAGAAAAUCUGCUCCAGAAAUGGAUAACAUUUUUAAAAAAGACACAGGACACAAAUGGGAAAUUUUGGCAUAAGCUUUUAAUGUUUUUAUUUAGUUUUUGAGGUUUUCUCUUUAAACUGAAUUUGUUUGCUUUUUCCCAGUAGUUCGGUGAUUUUUUUUAUUAAUAUUCAUCAGUUUUUUUUAUUUAUCCUAUCAGUAAAGGAGAAGAGUUGCUCAGGUAAAUCAGCAUUCACAGUCAAACCUUCAUACGUUUUAACAACAGAACUGUUUUUUAUAAGUCUCUUUUUCACAAAUGCUGUUGAAUUAUUACAGUUUCACCUUUUUUGUUCUUUACAUGUUUCAAAAAUAGAAAAGGUAAAUAAUAAACAUUCCAUUGAAAUAUAUUUUAUACAGUUCUCGAUUCUUUUUAUUUUAUUUUUCUCUCUCCAGUGUAGUGACAAUAAAAUUAUAUCCAGCAUCAGUCUUUAUAGAAUAAACCCCGUUCAUUAAUGGAGGGA
Dicentrarchus labrax (European seabass) is the source of this 2825-nucleotide long non-coding RNA. RefSeq lists it as uncharacterized. The transcript is spliced from 2 exons. NCBI's taxonomy places the organism in Eukaryota, Metazoa, Chordata, Actinopteri, Moronidae. The record is from RefSeq and is a predicted model, not a curated record.